UGGCCAAGUCAGGAUUGCAUUGCGCCAGGAUAUAUGACUUCCAAACGCAGUCAAGAUUUCUCAAGCGUCGCCAAGAUUGCCCUGGCCAAGAUGCAUGUUCGAAUGAUUCAAACAAAAAAAAACGCUGUCAAGAUUUCCCAAGCGUCGCCAAGAUUUAUUGCCCAAGAUUUUCGGUGAUGAAGAUUUAUUAGGCCAAGAUUUUCAAGGACUUAGAUUACAUCCUUCUAUCUGCACAUGCUGCAUGCCGCUGCACUGAAGACUCAGAAGUUAUUGUGAUAACAAGUAAUGUUUUGUGUGGAUUGUGGAGAGAGGUUGCUUCCCACAAAUAAAUUUUGUGGAAACUGUGGAGCUGCUGUCUGCAAAAGAAAUGAUGUCAAGGAUAAACCUAGCUCCACAGGCAUGCUGAGUCCUUGGGCCAAGGGCAAG
Molecule: long non-coding RNA, 426 nt
Organism: Ostrea edulis (European flat oyster)
Lineage: Eukaryota; Metazoa; Mollusca; Bivalvia; Ostreida; Ostreidae
Exons: 3
Source: RefSeq, a predicted model, not a curated record